GAUGAACGCUGGCGGCGUGCCUAAUACAUGCAAGUCGAGCGAACAGACGAGGAGCUUGCUCCUCUGACGUUAGCGGCGGACGGGUGAGUAACACGUGGAUAACCUACCUAUAAGACUGGGAUAACUUCGGGAAACCGGAGCUAAUACCGGAUAAUAUAUUGAACCGCAUGGUUCAAUAGUGAAAGACGGUUUUGCUGUCACUUAUAGAUGGAUCCGCGCCGCAUUAGCUAGUUGCUAAGGUAACGGCUUACCAAGGCGACGAUGCGUAGCCAACCUGAGGGGGGGACUGCCCCCAAAAGAGUUGACAACCGGCACAACAUCCAAGGGGGGGUAGAAGCUGGGAAUUUUCCGCACGGGGCGAAAGCCGAAGGGGACAACGCGGGGGAGGUGGGGAAGUUCUGCGAGACGUAAAACCCUUUUUUGGGGAAAAAAAAAUGGUGGAAGUAAUGAUGCCGGUUUGGAAGGAACCAAAGCAGAAACCCCGGGUAAACGACGG
RNAcentral lists this ribosomal RNA (496 nucleotides) under uncultured bacterium. RNAcentral describes it as "partial 16S ribosomal RNA". It matches the Rfam family "Bacterial small subunit ribosomal RNA", at positions 28 to 506 of the family's 1533-position model. The record is from RNAcentral.